RNAcentral lists this ribosomal RNA (253 nucleotides) under uncultured bacterium. RNAcentral describes it as "partial 16S ribosomal RNA". It matches the Rfam family "Bacterial small subunit ribosomal RNA", at positions 524 to 776 of the family's 1533-position model. The record is from RNAcentral.
GACGUAGGGCGCGAGCGUUGUCCGGAUUUAUUGGGCGUAAAGAGCUCGUAGGCGGUUUGUCGCGUCUGCUGUGAAAACCCGAGGCUCAACCUCGGGCCUGCAGUGGGUACGGGCAGACUAGAGUGCGGUAGGGGAGAUUGGAAUUCCUGGUGUAGCGGUGGAAUGCGCAGAUAUCAGGAGGAACACCGAUGGCGAAGGCAGCUCGCUGGGACGGUACUGACGCUGAGGCGCGAAAGCGUGGGGAGCGAACAGG